CAUUCAAUUUAUGAGAAUUGACAAUCAUGUAUUUUUCAUUUAUAGUAGGAAACUGUUAUAGAGAAACAAAGCCUUAACCUAGUGUUUUUGAGUGCUAGUAGUAGUUAUGAAAGGCUAGACCCAUGAAUAGCCAUAAUCAAAUCCUUGCAUAGCUUCUGGUCAUCUUGUAUGCAGUUUACAUGGUGAGGAAAGGGCAUUCAAAAAUUUCCCAGCAGGACAUUGUUGAUGUAUUAGAAAAACAACUGCUUGAGGGUAUGGGUGUGCUUCUCAUUGAGGAAGAGCAACAGAAAUGUGAAGAAAGUGUAUCUGUUGAAAAGAAGAGACUACUUGCUGUUCAUUAAGCUGGUCAUGUUGUGUUAGCUCACUUAUUUCCUCGGUUUGACUGGCAUGCAUUUUCGCAGCUCCUGCCAGGUGGUAAGGUAUGCUAUGUUGUUACAGAAAUAUGCAAAAUGAUCAUAUUGGACUUUUGCCAUUCCUUUUGCCUUUGCUCAUCAUCUCUCCCUAUCAAAAAGCUUUAAUUGUCAGAUAUAAAAAUGAGUUGUUUAAUAUGUUUAAACCUCCUGCCUACACCAGAGUCCUUUAAGCUUGAAGCAAAGAGAAUGCACAAGCACACUUACCUUGUGUUCGAAUAUAACUAAUUGAUUUUAUUCAAAACAGGGUGCUACCAAGAAUUGAAUAGUAGACCACUUACUCAUGGAAGUUUCUUGUAGGGAUUGCACUUCCGCUCUUUAUUAUAAUUGGGUUGUUGCUGAUUCUAUGGCGUUGCAAAGCAAAACGCAAUAUUGUUCUUUACUCAAAUCCAGAACCAGAGAGUUGCAGUGUAUACUUUGGGGUCCCUGUCUUCUCCUAUAAGGAUCUCUUAUAAAGAAAAAAUGUUGUCAAAGCAACUAUUGAUAGGUAUAAGAAAUCAUGUUCAGAUUCAUCUGGUGCUGGACCUGCUUCCGAGAUUAAUGCUUAGUAUUACCAGCAAGAAGCAGAAAAACUGUGUGCCCAAAUUAGUAACCUACAGAAUAACAAAUUUUGUAUGCUAUUGGGAGUUUGAGACGGAUAUUUUAGCAUUUCAACCAGAAAUAGAAAGAUUCAAUAAAUUUCGGUCUAGAUCCAACAAACUUGCCUCCAUGAAGCAAAGAAGCAGUGUUAAGGAUGAUGUUGAAUUGAAGAAUUAGAAUAUGUAAAUUUCGGUCUAGAUUCAGCAAACUUGACUCCUACAUGUCUCUUUUUAUAUUUCUUGAUUUGGUUAUAGAAUUACAAUGCAAACAUUAAUAUUUUAGUUUGUUUAUGACUUGCUUGUUUAUA
Non-coding RNA from Arachis ipaensis, 1296 nucleotides. The record is from RefSeq and is a predicted model, not a curated record. NCBI's taxonomy places the organism in Eukaryota, Viridiplantae, Streptophyta, Magnoliopsida, Fabales, Fabaceae.